UGAGCAACCUGCCCCUGACUCUGGGAUAACCCCGGGAAACCGGAGCUAAUACCGGAUACGACACGCGAAGGCAUCUUCUGCGUGUAGAAAGAUUUAUCGGUCAGGGAUGGGCUCGCGGCCUAUCAGCUUGUUGGUGGGGUAACGCCCACCAAGGCAGCGAUGCGUAGCUGGUCUGAGAGGACGAUCAGCCACACUGGGACUGAGACACGGCCCAGACCUCCGUAGGGAGG
Molecule: ribosomal RNA, 230 nt
Filed under: uncultured bacterium
Lineage: Bacteria
Description: partial 16S ribosomal RNA
Rfam family: Bacterial small subunit ribosomal RNA
Source: RNAcentral